Small nuclear RNA from Octodon degus (degu), 135 nucleotides. RefSeq annotates it as U4 spliceosomal RNA. NCBI's taxonomy places the organism in Eukaryota, Metazoa, Chordata, Mammalia, Rodentia, Octodontidae. The transcript has a single exon. The record is from RefSeq and is a predicted model, not a curated record.
AGCUUUGUGCAGGGGCAGUAUUGUAGCCAGUAAGGUUUAUCAGAGGCUCCCUGUGAUUAUUGCUUAUAGAAAACUAUUCUUAUUUAUUUAUUUAUUUAUUUAGUGUGAGUGUGGCCAGUUCAGCCCACCAGGGGG